UCCGGCUUGUCACCGGCAGUUUCUUCAGAGUCCCCAACUAAAUGAUGGUAACUGAAGAUGAGGGUUGCGCUCGUUGCGGGACUUAACCCAACAUCUCACGACACGAGCUGACGACAGCCAUGCAGCACCUGUCUCUGCCCCAGCCGAACUGAGACCUCUCAUUACAAAAGGCUUUAGGCAGGAUGUCAAGAGCUGGUAAGGUUUUUCGCGUAGCCUCGAAUUAAACCACAUGCUCCACCGCUUGUGCGGGUCCCCGUCAAUUCCUUUGAGUUUUAAUCUUGCGACCGUACUCCCCAGGCGGGGUGCUUAACGCGUUAGCUACGACACCGAAACUUAAGUUCCGACGUCUAGCACCCAUCGUUUAGGGCGUGGACUAC
This 377-nucleotide unclassified non-coding RNA is filed under the name uncultured Rickettsiales bacterium. RNAcentral's name for it is "contains 16S-23S intergenic spacer region". Lineage: Bacteria; Pseudomonadati; Pseudomonadota; Alphaproteobacteria; Rickettsiales. The record is from RNAcentral.